RNAcentral lists this transfer RNA (77 nucleotides) under Candidatus Dormiibacterota bacterium. Its description in RNAcentral is "tRNA-His". It matches the Rfam family "tRNA". Rfam says of the family: Transfer RNA (tRNA) molecules are approximately 80 nucleotides in length. Their secondary structure includes four short double-helical elements and three loops (D, anti-codon, and T loops). RNAcentral also lists the same sequence under 1 other name. The record is from RNAcentral. Lineage: Bacteria; Bacillati; Candidatus Dormiibacterota.
GUGGCCAUAGCUCAGCUGGUUAGAGUGCCAGGUUGUGGCCCUGGAGGUCGUGGGUUCGAAUCCCACUGGCCACCCCA